ACACUUGAGACGCGGCGCACACGCAGAGACGCGCGCAGAUUUCUUUUCUUUUUUUUUUCGAAACUCCAACCAGCCCAGCCCUUCGCGCACACAACGCUUUCGUGUCGAAGAACCAGAGGCGACGCAUCGCGGCUCUCUGCACCGUUCGGGUAUGCGCGCUGAUGUAUUGUCGGCUGCCCCGUGAUUUUCGCCUUUCCCCAUACUACUUGCGAACUCAGACACCUACGUUCAGCGCACGCAAAACAGAAAGACGAACGAAAAGGCUACAGAGGGGGAUGGCGUCCUCUUCCACAGCCGACGACCAUAGCGCCGUUGCCGGCACAGUGGCAUCUUCGGCCUCGGUCUGCGGCAGCCGCGAAGCCGCUGCCUUGCCACCGACGGCGCUGCUCAAACUGGGCAGUACAAAGAAGCAAAGGACGGAGAGGGCGUUCUUGUUCGACCGCUACCCAAGCCGAAAGAUCGCGCUGCGGCUGGCAUAUCACGGUCACGUGCACGACGGUCUCGCAAAACAGAAGGAGACGGACAACACAGUGGAGGGACUCGUGUGCGAUGCGUUGCGGCGGCUUCGUCUCAUCCCGGAGGACGGGCCCCACAACUUUGGGCGGUGCGGUCGCACCGAUAAGGGCGUCAGUGCCCUCGGGAACGCCUUAUCCCUUACCGCUCGCGCGUCGUGCACUGCAGAUGCGGAGCCGCAGCUGCCGCCACUGGAUUACUGCAGCAUGCUCAACAACGUCCUGCCCUCAACGAUUCGCAUCGUUGGCUGUGCGUUGGUCGACGACGCCUUCGACGCACGCUUCUCCUGUGUCCAUCGCACCUACCGCUACUACUUUUUCCACCGCGGGCUGAACCUGGAAGCAAUGCAGGAGGCUGCCGCCUUCUUCCUCGGGACGCACAACUUCCGCAACUUCUGCAAGAUGGACGUUGUGAAUGUGAGCAACUUUGUGCGCACGGUGUUCUCGGUCGGCCUGCACCCGAGUGAGGCUCUGCCAGAGCUUAUUUCGUAUCUUGAGAUCAGAGCGAACUCGUUCUUGUACCACCAGAUUCGCUGCAUCAUGGAGGUGCUGUUUCUCGUGGGCCGCGGGCUGGAGGUCCCUAGCGUGGUCCAGACGCUGCUAGAGCGAGGUGAUCGCAAACCAACUUAUCCCCUGGCAGACGGUACCCCACUGGUACUGUGGGACUGCGGAUUCGACAAUGUUCAGUGGCAGAUGUCCCACUGCGCGUUUCAUGCGAUGGAGCAGGAGCUGCAGGACAUCAGCACCGCGCUUCUUAUACGCGCCACAUCUGCCGCCGCUAUGCGGUCCCAGUUAUUCCGCUGGUACACUGGUACCGCAGACAUGUUUCGCAAGGACACGCUGGAGAAAAGCGACACAUCAGGCGAGGGCCGCUCGCGCGCUGUUGCUUGGCGAGAUCCCGAGCUGCGGCGUUUGGAUAUGUGGUCCAUCACGGGGUGCGACUGGACAGACCCGGGCACCGCCGGCCAGAUCAAGGCGCGCAAGCGCGACCUGCUCUACUACCUCCGUACAGAAGCCAACAAAGGGCAGCCCCUGUCGACGACGACAAGCUGUGAGGAAAAGACUUCUCAGACCGCAGAAACCAUUGCCAGCGCCCCUCUGGCGCCGGUGAACUACGUGCCUCUCUUGCAACGCGAGACAGAGCGCACCUAUGAGGAGGAGGUGCGGGAGCUGAGCGGCAAGAAGCGCGCGCGCUACGAAGUGAAUGAGGCGAAGAAGGCGGCCGCUGCGGCGGCGCACAAAGAGGUGGUAAGCGAGGACUAAUAUCCUGACACGGACACGUGUGCCGAUCUGCACAAAUAAUUGCCGAAGGUGGUCUGCUCUUUGUUCUUGUCGAAGAAGAAGCGAACAGGAUGGUAUUCGUGAGAGGCGAUCGCGUGGCGCACCGCGUGCACGGCAACGCGAGCAUAUCUUCGAAGCACGAGUGAUCGCACAUGAUUUGGAAAGCGAAAGAAAAAAAAAGUCAUUCAAGAACGAAUGCAGACUUCUAGGUGAGCUGGCUUCUCCCCACGCCCCCAGGUAGCGCGACCCGCUUGAACGGCUGCUCGGGUAAGUGGAGUGGUGGAGCCUCUUCGCCAUACUUUGGUCGUGCUGUGACGCGGACAUCGGCGAAUGAACAAAGUGCGCUUCGCCGUUUCUCCGCGCCCCUCCUGUGCGACUUCAGGACUUUGCACGCACGCCUUGGAAUCAUCGACCCUCUGUGUUUCCUCACCGCUUUUGGACUCGUGCAUGCGGCCACAGCCUCUCAUUGUGCGGCAUCUCUGCAGCUCUGCAUUGCCUGCUUCGCUGCUCUUCUUUCCCCAGUGGCACCGCAUUUGUAUUGAAGCGUCGCCGAAC
This 2348-nucleotide unclassified non-coding RNA is filed under the name Leishmania donovani. RNAcentral's name for it is "gene:LdHU3.30.2050(CDS-product:pseudouridine_synt hase_A-like_protein_putative)". The record is from RNAcentral. Lineage: Eukaryota; Euglenozoa; Kinetoplastea; Trypanosomatida; Trypanosomatidae.